This 508-nucleotide ribosomal RNA is filed under the name uncultured bacterium. Its description in RNAcentral is "partial 16S ribosomal RNA". It matches the Rfam family "Bacterial small subunit ribosomal RNA", at positions 28 to 523 of the family's 1533-position model. The record is from RNAcentral.
GAUGAACGCUAGCUACAGGCUUAACACAUGCAAGUCGAGGGGAAACGACAUCGAAAGCUUGCUUCCGAUGGGCGUCGACCGGCGCACGGGUGAGUAACGCGUAUCCAACCUGCCCACCACUUGGGGAUAACCUUGCGAAAGUAAGACUAAUACCCAAUGAUAUCUCUAGAAGACAUCUGAAAGAGAUUAAAGAUUUAUCGGUGAUGGAUGGGGAUGCGUCUGAUUAGCUUGUUGGCGGGGUAACGGCCCACCAAGGCGACGAUCAGUAGGGGUUCUGAGAGGAAGGUCCCCCACAUUGGAACGGAGACACGGUCCAAACUCCUACGGGAGGCAGCAGUGAGGAAUAUUGGUCAAUGGACGAGAGUCUGAACCCGCCAAGUAGCGUGCAGGAAGACGGCCCUAUGGGUUGUAAACUGCUUUUAUAAGGGAAUAAAGUGAGUCUCGUGAGACUCUUUGCAUGUACCUUAUGAAUAAGGACCGGCUAAUUCCGUGCCAGCCGCCGCAGUAA